Non-coding RNA from Plutella xylostella (diamondback moth), 566 nucleotides. The record is from RefSeq and is a predicted model, not a curated record. NCBI's taxonomy places the organism in Eukaryota, Metazoa, Arthropoda, Insecta, Lepidoptera, Plutellidae.
GGUAUCUAACUAAGUACAGAAUGGGUUGUAAACCACAGGCUUAGGUUAGUACAGGCAAAAUAUCAUUUUAAUAUACCUGACGUGACUGUAGUUUCUCUACACUGUGUCAACGUAGGGGUUACGUUCAUAAUACCUGCUUAAAUGUAAUUUAUGGCACUUGUGAAGCAUUGUCGAGUGAAGGAGUUUUAAAUAUUUAUGUGCUUAUUAUCUUCUGUGAAGCAUCUCAUCUCAAGAGUGCUUACGAGCUCUUCUUUUUGAGUUUUAGUAGUGCCAAUAUGGGAUUAUAUCCUUAUUUAUACAUGACAACCUUUUCAACGGGCAAAGAUUAACGUGCUAUGUUUUUUACAGCACAAUUCGUCAAGUUCACGAUAUAGUUUUAUAGAAGUGCUUGAUUAUAGUUGUAAGGUUGAUGAGUGUACUUAUCUGUGUUUGUGCCUACAUUCCCUUUUAUUGCAGCCCUAAAUCCUUAAAUAGAUGAAUUGAUUUGAUAGUACGAGUAGCUAUUUCGUUGUUUGAAAGAUUAUUUGACCACGUAAUUGUAUAAAACGGCGAUAUCGGUUUUAUCA